UACGUAGGGGGCGAGCGUUGUCCGGAAUCAUUGGGCGUAAAGCGCGCGCAGGCGGCCAGCAGAGCCCGGCGUGAAAGCCCCCGGCUCAACCGGGGGAGGCCGUCGGGGACCUGGAGGCUGGAGGCCGGUAGGGGAGAGCGGAAUUCCCGGUGUAGUGGUGGAAUGCGUAGAGAUCGGGAGGAACACCGGUGGCGAAGGCGGCUCUCUGGGCCGGACCUGACGCUCAGGCGCGAAAGCGUGGGGAGCGAUCCGG
This 253-nucleotide ribosomal RNA is filed under the name uncultured bacterium. Its description in RNAcentral is "partial 16S ribosomal RNA". It matches the Rfam family "Bacterial small subunit ribosomal RNA", at positions 524 to 776 of the family's 1533-position model. The record is from RNAcentral.